Molecule: ribosomal RNA, 692 nt
Filed under: uncultured bacterium
Lineage: Bacteria
Description: bacterial SSU rRNA
Rfam family: Bacterial small subunit ribosomal RNA
Source: RNAcentral
AACGCUAGCUACAGGCUUAACACAUGCAAGUCGAGGGGCAGCACGGGAGUAGCAAUACAACUGGUGGCGACCGGCGCACGGGUGAGUAACGCGUAUGCAACCUACCUAUCAGAGGGGAAUAACCCGGCGAAAGUCGGACUAAUACCGCAUAAAACAGGGGCACCGCAUGGUGAUAUUUGUUAAAGAAAUUCGCUGAUAGAUGGGCAUGCGUUCCAUUAGGUAGUUGGUGAGGUAACGGCUCACCAAGCCGACGAUGGAUAGGGGAACUGAGAGGUUGGUCCCCCACACUGGUACUGAGACACGGACCAGACUCCUACGGGAGGCAGCAGUGAGGAAUAUUGGUCAAUGGGCGAGAGCCUGAACCAGCCAAGUCGCGUGAAGGAAGAAGGAUCUAUGGUUCGUAAACUGCUUUUAUACAGGAAUAAAGUUAGCCACGUGUGGUUAUUUGUAGGUACUGUAUGAAUAAGGACCGGCUAAUUCCGUGCCAGCAGCCGCGGUAAUACGGAAGGUCCAGGCGUUAUCCGGAUUUAUUGGGUUUAAAGGGAGCGUAGGCCGUCUGUUAAGCGUGUUGUGAAAUGUAGAUGCUCAACAUCUGAAUUGCAGCGCGAACUGGCAGACUUGAGUGUGCGCAACGUAGGCGGAAUUCGUGGUGUAGCGGUGAAAUGCUUAGAUAUCACGAAGAACUCCGAUUG